AGGAUAGUGUGUUGGUGAGCGGGAUGAGCAGCCCGUGGCAUCGCAGCGAGGAGGAGACGAAGAGGAGCAGCAGGCCGAAGCAGAGGAGGCGCAUGGUGACGCGGGCGCUUUUGCGCGGGGUGGAAUGGAAUCGUCGGGUUUCUUUCUGGCCGGCCUCAAGCCGCGGGUUUAGAAGGGGUUUUUGAAGCGCCGAGCCGGCUGCCGUGGGGACGUCCAACGAAAAACGGAAAUCCACCCGGGAGACGCCGCGAGCCGCAUGGAGGAUUGGAGGGAC
This 274-nucleotide long non-coding RNA is filed under the name Oryza brachyantha (malo sina). RNAcentral's name for it is "long non-coding RNA (OBRA_LNC001224)". The record is from RNAcentral. Lineage: Eukaryota; Viridiplantae; Streptophyta; Magnoliopsida; Poales; Poaceae.